Molecule: ribosomal RNA, 253 nt
Filed under: uncultured bacterium
Lineage: Bacteria
Description: partial 16S ribosomal RNA
Rfam family: Bacterial small subunit ribosomal RNA
Source: RNAcentral
UACGGAGGGAGCAAGCGUUGCUCGGAAUUAUUGGGCGUAAAGAGCGCGCAGGCGGUCGUUCAAGUCGAGUGUGAAAGCCCCCGGCUCAACUGGGGAGGGUCACUCGAUACUGAUCGACUUGAAGGCAGGAGAGGGAAGCGGAAUUCCCGGUGUAGUGGUGAAAUGCGUAGAUAUCGGGAGGAACACCAGUGGCGAAGGCGGCUUCCUGGCCUGUUCUUGACGCUGAGGCGCGAAAGCUAGGGGAGCAAACGGG